Molecule: ribosomal RNA, 429 nt
Filed under: Gemmatimonadota bacterium
Lineage: Bacteria; Pseudomonadati; Gemmatimonadota
Description: Gemmatimonadetes bacterium partial 16S ribosomal RNA
Rfam family: Bacterial small subunit ribosomal RNA
Source: RNAcentral
UAGGGAAUCUUCGGCAAUGGACGAAAGUCUGACCGAGCAACGCCGCGUGAGUGAAGAAGGUUUUCGGAUCGUAAAACUCUGUUGUUAGAGAAGAACAAGGACGUUAGUAACUGAACGUCGCCUGACGGUAUCUAACCAGAAAGCCACGGCUAACUACGUGCCAGCAGCCGCGGUAAUACGUAGGUGGCAAGCGUUGUCCGGAUUUAUUGGGCGUAAAGCGGGCGCAGGCGGUUUCUUAAGUCUGAUGUGAAAGCCCCCGGCUCAACCGGGGAGGGUCAUUGGAAACUGGGAGACUUGGGUGCAGAAGAGGAGAGUGGAAUUCCAUGUGUAGCGGUGAAAUGCGUAGAUAUAUGGAGGAACACCAGUGGCGAAGGCGGCUCUCUGGUCUGUAACUGACGCUGAGGCUCGAAAGCGUGGGGAGCAAACAGG